AUAGCCAACAAAUUAAUCUUUCGCCAAUCAGGACAAGGGUUUAAUAAGUAAAAAGAAAUGUUAUUAUCUCUUCUGUAAAUACACAAGAUUAGUGCAAGCUCUCAUAAAUUUGUUUACUGUAAAGAAUGAGAUUAGUUUCUUAUUAUUGAUAGACCUGAUCCAUGAUAACUAUCCCAUAGUCCUGGACAAAGGUAAUUUGAGCUCAGAUAUCUGAACCCUGCCUGCUUGUGCUUGGAACAUAGAAGCCAGUUUGGAAACCUUGUCCAUCUAAUGGCACUUGGGGUGUAAUUUCAGGAGGAGGCAUCACUACUUACCAGGGGCUCCAUCUUCAACAGCUCAGUCACCAGGAGCCUUUCUCACGAUUUCACUCACAGCCAAUCCAAGCACAAGGCAGGUCAAUCUGAGGAUGAAGAAGAAGCCUUGAGACUCCAGACUUCCAGACCCAUCAGAAUUCAAGCCCCAACCUUCACCUGGACAUGACCCCCAGCCCCUCAAACCGAAAUAAGUGAUGCACCCUAAGAAUCUUCUCUGCAGGAUCACAGGUCACCUCUGGUGUCCAGGAAAUGUUGAUACUGGCCUGGAAGUCCUGAAGAAAGUGACCACCUCUCUCGGGCAACUGCAGAACUUUUCAUUGAACUGUCCUUUGGUGAGAAUACACACGAAGACAGGGUGACCAAGUUCCAGACAAUGGAACCCCAGGUGAGUAGGACGUGCUCCUUCUUGUGAAUUGAUACCUAUCCUUUCUUUUUUCCCUGGGGAUGAGUGGGUUUUGAGUCUUGGCCUGGAUUUCCUGGGGCCCCCAUGAAAUUAAAUUACUGUCAGUCAUUUUUCCUCAGGACUCUGGGAGGCUUAGGGCAGGUUGGGGACUAAUUGAGAAAUAAUUCCCUACCCAGUAUUUACACUGCUUUACUCCAUUCCUCACUCCCUUAAGGAUGUCCUUGAAGAAAAGGUAAAAAGUUGUUUCUUUGAAUGUAUCCCAUGUUAGUGUCUGCAGUGGGCUUAGGCAUGUGGUGAACAUAGGCAGCAGAAAUGAGUAAGAGCAAAAGUGUCUAGUCCUGCAGGGAGGCAGCUGUUUGUUUUUCAAGUGAGUUUAGUCCAUCCAGUAAUUUGGAUGCUGCAGAGGAGGGCUCUGCAGCAUGGAGAUUGGGGUGAGAGGAGGCAAGCAAGAGAGCAAUAAGGAAUCAUUAUUUUCCCCCAAUUUUAAAUUUAUUCAAAAUUUUAUAGAAUAUACUUGCACAUUUAAAUAACUUAAAAAAAGAAAAAAAAAAUCUCCUUAUCCUUUUUGUCCCCAACAACCCAGUUUCCUUCUUUGUAAUCAAAACUGCAAACAGAAAGAAAUGUCUGGUACUGUUUUAUUAUUUUGGGCUGUGCAUUAAGAAGAAGGAUUAUAUCAGCAUAAACCUAGGGUCCUGUAGCAGUUUUUGAAGGGCUGGAAAGAUCAGGUUCCACUGAGAGGCCUCUAUUUCCUGUUAGCAUAUAAACAGCUUGGUGGUACAGGAGGGACCUUGAUAACCCAUGCUUGAAGGUCCUAGAGAAGAUGGAGAUGCAAGGUCCCAUCACAGGAGGGUCGGGUCAGGACAAUCCUUCUGUGUAGCAGUUCUAGGGCCCCUUGGGGUUUGCUUCUGAACUGUACGUCUUAUUCUGCAUCAUGAACAUAUGAGUUGUGCAGAGAUGGGAGAAGCCACCUAAUUAUCACGUUCUCCAGGAGAGUGUUCAGUUCUGCAGAAUUUGGCCAUUGCUUUGCCAGAUUAUUUCCACUACAGUUACCUCAUUCACUGUAAUGAGAUUUUGUUUUCAAAGAAAGUGAAAGUGAAAGUGACUCAGUCGUGUCCGACUCUUUGCGACCCCAUAGGUUGUACAGUCCCUGGAAUUCCCCCGGCCAGAAUACUGGAGUGGGUAGCCUUUCCUUUCUCCAGGGGAUCUUGCCAACCCAGGGAUCGAACCCAGGUCUCCUGUAAUGCAGGAGGAUUCUUUACCAGCUGAGCCACCAGGGAAAGCAUUUUGUUUUCAAAGUGGUGCAUCUGUGAGUAUGUGUGAGAGACACACAGCAUGUCAGCCUAGAGAAAUGUUUGACCAGAACCCCAAACAAGGUUGAGCUUUUUCUUACACAGCAAUCUAACCACAGCCCUACUGCAUACAGUAUCUUUCCAUGGCACUUCGUGGGGAAGGCCCUGGCUGCACAAAAUGUCCAUGUUUUAGGAAACAGUGACCCUCAAGGAUAUGGCUGUAGACUUCACCGAGGAAGAGUGGGCCCUGCUGGACACCUCCCAGA
Bos grunniens (domestic yak) is the source of this 2272-nucleotide long non-coding RNA. NCBI's taxonomy places the organism in Eukaryota, Metazoa, Chordata, Mammalia, Artiodactyla, Bovidae. The record is from Ensembl.